This 75-nucleotide transfer RNA is filed under the name Staphylococcus aureus. Its description in RNAcentral is "tRNA-Asn". It matches the Rfam family "tRNA". Rfam says of the family: Transfer RNA (tRNA) molecules are approximately 80 nucleotides in length. Their secondary structure includes four short double-helical elements and three loops (D, anti-codon, and T loops). Further hydrogen bonds mediate the characteristic L-shaped molecular structure. tRNAs have two regions of fundamental functional importance: the anti-codon, which is responsible for specific mRNA codon recognition, and the 3' end, to which the tRNAs corresponding amino acid is attached (by aminoacyl-tRNA synthetases). tRNAs cope with the degeneracy of the genetic code in two manners: having more than one tRNA (with a specific anti-codon) for a particular amino acid; and 'wobble' base-pairing, i.e. permitting non-standard base-pairing at the 3rd anti-codon position. Lineage: Bacteria; Bacillati; Bacillota; Bacilli; Caryophanales; Staphylococcaceae. The record is from RNAcentral.
UCCACAGUAGCUCAGUGGUAGGGCUAUCGGCUGUUAACCGAUCGGUCGUAGGUUCGAGUCCUACCUGUGGAGCCA